Molecule: ribosomal RNA, 374 nt
Filed under: uncultured organism
Description: partial 16S ribosomal RNA
Rfam family: Bacterial small subunit ribosomal RNA
Source: RNAcentral
GUAGGUGGCAAGCGUUGUCCGGAAUUAUUGGGGCGUAAAGCGCGCGCAGGCGGUUCUUUAAGUCUGAUGUGAAAGCCCACGGGCUCAACCGUGGAGGGUCAUUGGAAACUGGAGAACCUGAGUACAGAAGAGGAAAGCGGAAUUCCACGUGUAGCGGUGAAAUGCGUAGAGAUGUGGAGGAACACCAGUGGCGAAGGCGGCUUUCUGGUCUGUAACUGACGCUGAGGCGCGAAAGCGUGGGGAGCAAACAGGAUUAGAUACCCUGGUAGUCCACGCCGUAAACGAUGAGUGCUAAGUGUUAGGGGGUUUCCGCCCCUUAGUGCUGCAGCUAACGCAUUAAGCACUCCGCCUGGGGAGUACGGCCGCAAAGGCUG